This 274-nucleotide ribosomal RNA is filed under the name uncultured bacterium. RNAcentral describes it as "partial 16S ribosomal RNA". It matches the Rfam family "Bacterial small subunit ribosomal RNA", at positions 523 to 796 of the family's 1533-position model. The record is from RNAcentral.
AUACGUAGGCAGCGAGCGUUGUUCGGAGUUACUGGGCGUAAAGCGUGCGUAGGCGGUUCCGCAAGUUCGGUGUGAAAUAUCCCGGCUCAACUGGGAGGGUGCGCCGAAAACUGCGGAGCUUGAGCGUGGGAGAGGGAAGCGGAAUUCCUGGUGUAGCGGUGAAAUGCGUAGAUAUCAGGAGGAACACCGGUGGUGUAGACGGCUUCCUGGACCACUGCUGACGCUGAGGCACGAAAGCGUGGGGAGCAAACAGGAUUAGAAACCCUAGUAGUCC